This 484-nucleotide ribosomal RNA is filed under the name uncultured bacterium. RNAcentral's name for it is "partial 16S ribosomal RNA". It matches the Rfam family "Bacterial small subunit ribosomal RNA", at positions 29 to 507 of the family's 1533-position model. The record is from RNAcentral.
AUUGAACGCUGGCGGCAUGCUUUACACAUGCAAGUCGAACGGCAGCGCGGGCUUCGGCCUGGCGGCUAGUGGCGAACGGGUGAGUAAUACAUCGGAACGUGCCCAGUAGUGGGGGAUAGCCCGGCGAAAGCCGGAUUAAUACCGCAUACGACCUGCGGGUGAAAGCGGGGGAUCUUCGGACCUCUCGCUAUUUGAGCGGCCGAUGGCAGAUUAGCUAGUUGGUGGGGUAAAGGCCUACCAAGGCGACGAUCUGUAGCUGGUCUGAGAGGACGACCAGCCACACGGGGACUGAGACACGGCCCAGACUCCUACGGGAGGCAGCAGCGGGGAAUGUUGGACAAUGGGCGAAAGCCUGAUCCAGCAAUGCCGCGUGUGUGAUGAAGGCCUUCGGGUUGUAAAGCACUUUUGGCGGGAACGAAAAGGACUGUGCCAAUACCACGGGUCGAUGACGGUACCCGCAGAAUAAGCACCGGCUAACUACGUG